RNAcentral lists this ribosomal RNA (253 nucleotides) under uncultured bacterium. RNAcentral's name for it is "partial 16S ribosomal RNA". It matches the Rfam family "Bacterial small subunit ribosomal RNA", at positions 524 to 776 of the family's 1533-position model. The record is from RNAcentral.
UACGAAGGGGGCUAGCGUUGCUCGGAAUUACUGGGCGUAAAGGGCGCGUAGGCGGAUACUUAAGUCGGGGGUGAAAGCCCGGGGCUCAACCUCGGAAUUGCCUUCGAUACUGGGUAUCUUGAGUUCGGGAGAGGUGAGUGGAAUGCCGAGUGUAGAGGUGAAAUUCGUAGAUAUUCGGCGGAACACCAGUGGCGAAGGCGACUCACUGGCCCGAUACUGACGCUGAGGAGCGAAAGCGUGGGGAGCGAACAGG